RNAcentral lists this transfer RNA (75 nucleotides) under Candidatus Roizmanbacteria bacterium RIFCSPHIGHO2_02_FULL_37_13b. RNAcentral's name for it is "tRNA-Val". It matches the Rfam family "tRNA". From Rfam's summary of the family: Transfer RNA (tRNA) molecules are approximately 80 nucleotides in length. The record is from RNAcentral. Lineage: Bacteria; Candidatus Roizmaniibacteriota. RNAcentral also lists the same sequence under 1 other name.
GGCCGUUUAGCUCAGUGGUAGAGCGCUGCAUUCACAUUGCAGAUGUCGGAGGUUCAAAUCCUCCAGCGGCCACUA